Molecule: ribosomal RNA, 443 nt
Filed under: uncultured bacterium
Lineage: Bacteria
Description: bacterial SSU rRNA
Rfam family: Bacterial small subunit ribosomal RNA
Source: RNAcentral
CGGAAUCACUGGGCGUAAAGGACGCGUAGGCGGAUUAUCAAGUCUCUUGUGAAAUCCUAUGGCUUAACCAUAGAACUGCUUGGGAAACUGAUAAUCUAGAGUGAGGGAGAGGCAGAUGGAAUUGGUGGUGUAGGGGUAAAAUCCGUAGAGAUCACCAGGAAUACCCAUUGCGAAGGCGAUCUGCUGGAACUCAACUGACGCUAAUGCGUGAAAGCGUGGGGAGCAAACAGGAUUAGAUACCCUGGUAGUCCACGCCCUAAACGAUGUAUACUAGUUGUUGCUAAGCUAGUCUUGGCAGUAAUGCACCUAACGGAUUAAGUAUACCGCCUGGGGAGUACGGUCGCAAGAUUAAAACUCAAAGGAAUAGACGGGGACCCGCACAAGCGGUGGAGCAUGUGGUUUAAUUCGAAGAUACGCGAAGAACCUUACCCGGACUUGAUAUC